RNAcentral lists this ribosomal RNA (253 nucleotides) under uncultured bacterium. Its description in RNAcentral is "partial 16S ribosomal RNA". It matches the Rfam family "Bacterial small subunit ribosomal RNA", at positions 524 to 776 of the family's 1533-position model. The record is from RNAcentral.
UACGUAGGGGGCAAGCGUUGUCCGGAAUCAUUGGGCGUAAAGCGCGCGUAGGCGGCUAGAUCAGUCUGCUGUGAAAGUCAAAGGCUCAACCUUUGAAUGCCGGUGGAUACUGUCUAGCUAGAGUCCGGAAGAGGCGGGUGGAAUUCCUGGUGUAGCGGUGGAAUGCGCAGAUAUCAGGAGGAACACCAACGGCGAAGGCAGCCCGCUGGGACGGUACUGACGCUAAGGCGCGAAAGCGUGGGGAGCGAACAGG